RNAcentral lists this long non-coding RNA (412 nucleotides) under Ananas comosus (pineapple). RNAcentral's name for it is "long non-coding RNA (ACOM_LNC044169)". The record is from RNAcentral. Lineage: Eukaryota; Viridiplantae; Streptophyta; Magnoliopsida; Poales; Bromeliaceae.
CCAAAUUGGCAGCGGUCCCGGGGCGUGACAGAUAGGUUGGUAUCAGAGCCAAUAGUGAAAGAAUAGGAAUGGACCUAGAGACCUAUAGGAUUGGAAGGCCUUAAGGAUCUAGGAAACGUGAGUGACGUGGGAUCAAGUUAGCGAAAGCAUGUGAUUGGGUUAAGUUGGAACGUCUCUAAUGUGAUUAGAGGCUAGGUUUAAUUUUCGUUUAUCCUCUACUUCUAGUGUUGUGUCGGGCGGCCGACGACAUGACGCUUGAGGCAAGGAUGAAUAUGCAUGUUGCUUUCGCCUAAUUGGGUAUGGUCAAGUAAUGUUGGUCAAGUGACUAAUGUGAGUUGCUUCUUUUCAGGAAGCAAUGGCACCUCGACGUCGAUCGCAGACAAGGUCGAUGCCGGAGGAAGCGAAUGCGGUG